CCUACGGGAGGCAGCAGUAAGGAAUAUUGGUCAAUGGACGAAAGUCUGAACCAGCCAUGCCGCGUGAAGGAUUAAGGCCCUCUGGGUUGUAAACUUCUUUUAUCUGGGACGAAAAAAGGGUAUUCUUACUCACUUGACGGUACCAGAGGAAUAAGCACCGGCUAACUCCGUGCCAGCAGCCGCGGUAAUACGGAGGGUGCAAGCGUUAUCCGGAUUUACUGGGUUUAAAGGGUGCGUAGGUGGGUUUGUAAGUCAGUGGUGAAAUCUCCGAGCUUAACUCGGAAACUGCCAUUGAUACUAUAGAUCUUGAAUUAUCUGGAGGUAAGCGGAAUAUGUCAUGUAGCGGUGAAAUGCUUAGAUAUGACAUAGAACACCAAUUGCGAAGGCAGCUUACUACGGAUAUAUUGACACUGAGGCACGAAAGCGUGGGGAUCAAACAGGAUUAGAUACCCUGGUAGUCCACGCCCUAAACGAUGGAUACUCGACAUCAGCGAUACACUGUUGGUGUCUGAGCGAAAGCAUUAAGUAUCCCACCUGGGAAGUACGAUCGCAAGAUUGAAACUCAAAGGAAUUGACGG
Molecule: ribosomal RNA, 578 nt
Filed under: uncultured bacterium
Lineage: Bacteria
Description: bacterial SSU rRNA
Rfam family: Bacterial small subunit ribosomal RNA
Source: RNAcentral